Molecule: microRNA, 22 nt
Organism: Caenorhabditis elegans
Lineage: Eukaryota; Metazoa; Nematoda; Chromadorea; Rhabditida; Rhabditidae
Source: Ensembl
UGGCAAGAAAUGGCAGUCUACA